GUCCCUUUCGUCCAGUGGUUAGGA
RNAcentral lists this non-coding RNA (24 nucleotides) under Arabidopsis thaliana (thale cress). Lineage: Eukaryota; Viridiplantae; Streptophyta; Magnoliopsida; Brassicales; Brassicaceae. RNAcentral also lists the same sequence under 1 other name. The record is from RNAcentral.